The sequence is a transfer RNA, 85 nucleotides long. It matches the Rfam family "tRNA". Rfam says of the family: Transfer RNA (tRNA) molecules are approximately 80 nucleotides in length. Their secondary structure includes four short double-helical elements and three loops (D, anti-codon, and T loops).
UCUCCUGUAGUACAGAGGUUAGUAUGGGGGCUUGUCAACCUGUGUUGCUUCGCCCUUGACCUGGGUUCGAAUCCCAGCAGGAGAG